GCCAGCAUGGCAUAAUGGUUUGCGUCUUUGGCUAUAACUCUGGAGACCAGGGUUCGAGUCCCAGCUCAGCCA
Molecule: non-coding RNA, 72 nt
Organism: Phrynosoma platyrhinos (Desert horned lizard)
Lineage: Eukaryota; Metazoa; Chordata; Lepidosauria; Squamata; Phrynosomatidae
Source: the annotation of a GenBank genome assembly